GCGCCGUUUCCUUCUCUCCCCGCUCCUCCUCCUCCACCAUCACCUGUUGGCUGCACAACUUGCUUCUCUCCGCUCGCCAUGGCUCCUGAGGCGGCUCCGGACGCGGGCGGGGGCUCGAAAGAAGAUUUGCUUCUCGCAGUAAUUCUGUUAGCUCAUAGACCAUCCCUCUGAUCUGCUUCAGGGAUAAUUCUGCUGUCCGUUCCUCUGGACUCAGUCCUCAUCUUACUGAAGUGAAUUCAAGAGCUCCAGUGACUACAAUUCUUCUUAAGGCUUCGCAAGUAUGGUUACAAGUCUAAAAUCCUAAAAUCUUAAAACGCUUGUUCUACCUUCCACAAUCAAAUUUGAAGUGUCAAGCUAAGGAAAUUAAAAAAAUGAUAUAAAGGUUUCUCUAACCCUGACAACCUCAAAAGAAAAUCACAAAGCGUGGAUUAAAAAUUAAUUUAAACCACAGACUGGGAAUGAACUCGGUAAGAUUUUAUGGAAAGUACCACUAAACUGUCUAAACUUAAGAAAAAUAUCCUUCCUGUAAAAUGUUUAAAUCACACCGGAAAGUACUAUCACGUGUACUGGUUUCGAAGCUCUGCUUAAAGCUUCUGAACCCUCUGUUCAGCACUGAUCAGACCAUACCUGGGAUGUCGCAUCCCAUCCUGGGCUCCACAGCGUGGGAGAAGCAUGGACAUGCUGGAGUGGGGCCUGCGAUGUGCUGCAAGGAUGAUGGCGGGACUGGAGCACCUGACACACCAGGAGAGGCUGAGAGAGCUGGAACCAUUCCAUCCAGAGAAGAGAAGGCUCGUAGGGGAUCUUUUCAGUGUGCAGAAAUACCUAACAUGGGAAAUUAAACAUAGCAGCUAAGAACUGGACCCGCUGCCAGCUGCAUCUGUAGCAAGAGUAACUUUUGGCAGCUAGAGUAUGCUGGAAUAAAAUACUCUGCCUUUAAGCAAAAAGAAGGAGAAGAAAAAAUGCUUCAUUUUAUAACUUUUUAUGACAAAAUGCUUCUUGAUCUUAAGCAUUAAGAACUGCUUUAAAAAUCCUUGGCUAGAAGUAAAAAUCCAAAUAAAAAAGCUGCUUAUAAAUCCCGUUGACCUUAAAUGAGAGGUCCUCUCUGUUUUUACAGAGAACAUAAUACUUCAAGAGUGCAAUGUAAUCCCAAAAUAAAGAUUAGCGUUGCCAAAAGAGGAAGUUUUCUUUUGGUUAGGUGUGAAGUUUUUUUGCAGUAUGCAUUAAAUGUUUUGUUUUUAUUUUAAUGCAUUUUUAUAAUGUAGAAUUUUACAUUUUUUAGUGUAAUUUUUUAAAUGGUGAAUUUUAUUCACUUUUGUUUAGAAGCUUUAUUAGUAUAUCUUCACUUUUCUUGAUUGGCGGAUUGCUGCUAUCGUUGUUUUUAAAUAGCACUGAAUUAAUGAAUGAAUUCUUAAUGUCUCAUCUAGUAGUAUUAGAAAAAAAAUCCAUUUUCUCAGGAAAUUAUGCUGAUGAUGAGCUAAAGAAACUGCUUUAGCUUAUUUCUCUUUCCUUUAGCUUGGAAAGGAUCUUCAGAAUGUCAGUGUAAUUUCUUACAAUAUCCAAGCUGUGUCAGGAAAUACCUCAUCUCCCUCAAAGGAAAUGCGAACUUUUACCAGAGUAAAUUCUAAAGAAACUUACAAAACAACUCAUUGUAUACUUGUGUAUUGUACUCUUAAUGAGUACGCCUUACUUUUCCUUUUGAGUUAUGCACCCUUACUAUUUUUAUUUUUAUUUUUAUUUUUGUGCUAAAAGAUGUAUUUGUUGUUGUGAAAGAACCCGAUCUCUGGCAGUAUUGUAGAUGUUUACGUUGUCUUCUGCCGUGGUGGUAGACCCUACAUGCUAUUAGUUUGAGCAAAACUAAUACACCCAUGUAAAACAUUAGCAUACAGAGAGUACUACAAGCUGUUUUUCUUUGCUAAGGCCCUACACACUGAAACUUGAGUUUCUAUGGCACAUUUAUCAGAACAGAUAGCUGUAUGCUUGAAUGGUGUGCCAGAGGGAGACAGCCUUGAGUCUGUGCUUGUUGAGCCUGUGCUUGCUGCCUUGCUGUGCUGUUCCAUGAGCCUGGGGGGCAGCUGCUCCCAGCCCAGCAGGAGCCGUGCCCACCCACCCAUUUAGUAGCACCUGGCUCGCACUACAGGGUCACUUCUCUCAUGCGUUCAAACUCCCCAGCUAAACCCAGGCUUGCUGCUUAAAAGGCAAGAGUCAAACACGGAGCCCAAAUGAAACAAAAGACCUAGAAAUAGUUCCAUGUUACAGUUUUGAGGGGGAUUAUGAGAGGUUUUCUGCGUAAAACUCCAAUGUGAUCUCAGAGGAUGUUUUGAAAUCCCCUACAAAUCACUUCUCACAGGAGCUGGAUUAAGACUUGCGAGGUGAAUGCAGUUACAGGCCUGUGACACAUCACAGAAGGGGAUAAAUCACAAAAUUAAACUUGAAACAUCAUGAUUAUUAUGGAAACAGCUCACUAUUGGUAUGUGGUGUGAUGCUUCGGUCAUUUGGCUCUAUUGUAGCGUUAUAACAACAAAGAUUAGAGAUGUUACUGUGAUGAACACAUAAGCUAUAUAAUCUCCCUCUGGCUUUUAGUAUUUCUGCGGAUAGCAACACUCUGAGGUAAAAAACAUGGGAACAGACAAGCCUGAGGAUUUCUGCUAAGUCAUUGUUUCUCUGAGACAGCACAACAACUAGUGGAUACCAAAAAAA
Molecule: long non-coding RNA, 2697 nt
Organism: Anas platyrhynchos (mallard)
Lineage: Eukaryota; Metazoa; Chordata; Aves; Anseriformes; Anatidae
Source: RefSeq, a predicted model, not a curated record